UAAAUUAUAGCUAAAGUUUCCAUGUCCUACAGAGACGUAAAAAGAAGUUUCUUCCCUACUAAAUUAGAUGAAGUAGAUAAAUCGUCUGAAAAAAUGCCAUCAAUGCUGUGUUUGUGCCAAAGCUUAAUGUGUGUCGACUUUAAACAUAUGCCACAUAAGAUCUCAAGCGCCAUAGGCAAGGUUGGGAUGACUAACCUGGGAACCCUCGAAUUUCUCACUCCCAUGCAAUUAUAAAUCUGAGAAUGUGUCUCCGAUAUCUCUGAAGUGGGAAAGCAAUGCGUGGAAAGGUGCCUUCUAUAUUCCUAACAGUCCAAAAUAGCGUUGUGGACAUGAAAGUGUCAUAACCAAGGUGCCUUUUAUAUAUAUAUUCUUAACGGUCGCCUGGCCCGUCAAAGGAUUAGAAGAGGAGAUUCUAUUUUAACAAUUUAGAUCAUGUUUCUUUUUGAAAAAAAUGUGAUUUCAUCAAGUGGUCCGCUGAAUAAUGAGAAAAAAUGUUGUCAAAGGCGAAAAGUGUGCCAUAAUACAUAAACAUAUUUUUUAACUUGGUCUCAACUGACAUUUAUGCCCUCAACUUUGGAUGUGCAUAACUAGAUACUUAAACUUGUAUAAAAUUGCACAAGUAGACGCACGCGUCCUAUGUAACAUAAUACACGUAGGAUGCCACGAAGGGAAUUUCCAUAUAGGACUCAUGUGUCUACUUAUUCAACUUCAUACAAGUUUAAGUACCUACUUAUGCAAACCCAAAGUUGGAUGACAUAAACGUCAACUGAGACUAAGUUAAAGGACACGUUUAUGUAUUAAGAUUUUUUUUUUAUCUACUAAUCGUAUGCAUAACAAUACUUUCAAAUUAAAAAAAUAAAAUAAUUGGGGAUUGCAUGGAGGGUAAGGGACCAUGGGAAUGAUAGGUGUGGUUGUGUAAGGUGGGCGUAUUAUGGAUCUCUCAAUAACAUGUCGGUAGAAUAGAGGGAAUUUAUCAUACAAUAUGCCCUUUCAUUACUUCAACAGAAGAUCAGAUGCAUCUCUUUAAGGGACAAAUGCUAUAAGAAAGUGCAGUACUGCUAGAGGAGCUUAUUGCUUUAUUCAUUGGGAAAUGCCUAAUUCUCCUCCGUAACUUCAUUUCCAUGGAGAUUGAAAAGGCAACAGAACACACUGAAAAAAACAUUUCCGGAAUCUAUGUGGCUAUGGACAAUCCUUCCGAGAGUUAUACGCCUACAAGCUUACUAUAACUUGUUUUAAAUAAAAUUCACCAAUAAAAAUUCAAAUGAUAUGUACCUAGAUAUAGCAAUUAGUUGUAGUAUCUGUCAAUAAGUUUUUGAGCACGUUAAGGCGUGUAUUUUAUACCGUGGCCUUGAAUUUUAAUCAGACUUUUAGGGCCACACAUUUUAUUUAGACUCAAAUGUUGUAGUCUUUUUCAAUAUGUUUUUCAGUACAGUGAGGAGUGUAUAAGAACUCUUCUAGCCCUUAUAAAUUUGUAUCAGGGAAGAAUAGCUCUUGUGCGUGGCAGAAUAUUGAGCGAACACGUGGCAUAUUGAUAAAGAGUACCCAUGAAGAUUCCUUUAAAGUUCCCAAUCCAAGGACCAGCCAGUAAGUCUGACCUCAGCAAGUUACCGAGGUUAGGAGGUGAUCGACAUCGGGUAAUAGGUGGAAAACGGGGCCCGAAAUCAGAGACUCGUGUAGCGAUGAUAGAGCAAAAGGCCAAAGUGACAUAUACGCCAGAUGUAUCCGUACAAGACUAUCAACAACAGAGGAGUAUUAGCUGGCAUAGAUGACAGUUUCCCAUGUGGAGUAUUGCUAUUGGGCAUAAUACUUUAGGGCUCAAGUGGAGCUUUUCUAUUGGUUGAUGUAUUGCCUUUGUUGCUUUGUAAAGCGCCGGAUUCUAAGUAAUAUACUAGUGUUCG
Molecule: long non-coding RNA, 1898 nt
Organism: Capsicum annuum
Lineage: Eukaryota; Viridiplantae; Streptophyta; Magnoliopsida; Solanales; Solanaceae
Exons: 3
Source: RefSeq, a predicted model, not a curated record